CAGUCGCCACGGGAAUACGUAGGGUGCAAGCGUUAAUCGGAAUUACUGGGCGUAAAGCGUGCGCAGGCGGUUCGGAAAGGAAGAUGUGAAAUCCCAGGGCUCAACCUUGGAACUGCAUUUUUAACUACCGGACUAGAGUAUGUCAGAGGGAGGUGGAAUUCCACGUGUAGCAGUGAAAUGCGUAGAUAUGUGGAGGAACACCGAUGGCGUAGGCGGCCAUCUGGGACAACACUGACGCUGAGGCACGAAAGCGUGGGGAGCAAACAGGAUUAGAUACCCGCGUAGUCCCUGUCUCUUAAUA
Molecule: ribosomal RNA, 301 nt
Filed under: uncultured bacterium
Lineage: Bacteria
Description: partial 16S ribosomal RNA
Rfam family: Bacterial small subunit ribosomal RNA
Source: RNAcentral